RNAcentral lists this ribosomal RNA (535 nucleotides) under uncultured bacterium. Its description in RNAcentral is "partial 16S ribosomal RNA". It matches the Rfam family "Bacterial small subunit ribosomal RNA", at positions 355 to 900 of the family's 1533-position model. The record is from RNAcentral.
UGGGGAAUAUUGCACAAUGGGCGAAAGCCUGAUGCAGCGACGCCGCGUGCGGGAUGAAGGCCUUCGGGUUGUAAACCGCUUUUAAUUGGGAGCAAGCGAGAGUGAGUGUACCUUUUGAAUAAGCACCGGCUAACUACGUGCCAGCAGCCGCGGUAAUACGUAGGGUGCAAGCGUUAUCCGGAAUUAUUGGGCGUAAAGAGCUCGUAGGCGGUUUGUCACGCCUGGUGUGAAAGUCCAUCGCUUAACGGUGGAUCUGCGCCGGGUACGGGCAGGCUAGAGUGCAGUAGGGGAGAUUGGAAUUCCCGGUGUAACGGUGGAAUGUGUAGAUAUCGGGAAGAACACCAAUGGCGAAGGCAGAUCUCUGGGCUGUUACUGACGCUGAGGAGCGAAAGCAUGGGGAGCGAACAGGAUUAGAUACCCUGGUAGUCCAUGCCGUAAACGGUGGAUGCUGGAUGUGGGACCCUUCCACGGGUUCCGUGUCGGAGCUAACGCGUUAAGCAUCCCGCCUGGGGGAGUACGGCCGCAAGGCUAAAAC